CUUUAGAAUAUUUUCAUCUCCCUGAAAAGCAGCCUUGGGCCUCUUAGCCAUAUUUUCAUAGUCCCUCUGUUCUUUCCAUUCCUAGGCAACUACUAAUUUAAUUCCUGAAUUAGAUUUUUAAUUCCAGAAUAGAUUUAAAUUCUGAAAUGUUUUUUUUAUAAGUGGGAUCAUACAAUAUAUGGUCCUUUGUGACUAGCUUCUUUGACUUGGUAUAGUAAGUCUGCUUUAAUUCCUGCACAUUGAUUAUGUUGCCCAGUUGAUAUUGAGAACCUCAGUCCUAUGUUAUUGUCAGUUGGGUUUAGAUUUUGUGAUCUGUUCAGUUUUUCUCUGCACUUAAUAUUCUAGAAAUAUGCCUCCAAAAAAGCAAAUGGUGCUUCUAAAAUAGAUGAAAGUUAAUGUGACUAAUUUAAACGGUAAAGUGAAAUUUAAAGUGGAUUGAAAGGUGGCAUGUCUUUAGUUGUGUGGCAUUAUGGGAAAAAUGAAUCAAACAUACAUGGUACAAGACUGAACCCUCUGCAUCCUGAACAUUUUGCAGUUUUUCCUCAGUGUAGGUCUCCUUGGAACCUUAACGUCUAUAGGUAUCACAGGGCUGCAACUGAUGCAUGUUGUAUUGUUUUAUUGCCAAAUAAGAUUCUACUGAAUGAAUACACUGCAUUUGUAUUUGUUAAGUGAUUAGCAUUUGGGUUGUUUUCACUUUGGGGCUAUUGUGAGAAUUAUUGUUAUGAACAUUCAUGGUCAAGUUUUUGUGUGUUCUGUGUAUCUCUUUUCCUCUAGCAUACUGUAUGAUUUUUUUGUUGUUUUACUGUUUCAAUGCAUAGUGCUUAAAACUACUUCUUUGAGUCUGUGAACAGGCUAUUGUGUGCUGGGCUUACCUUGACUGUGCUUAGUGUUCUAUGUAGUUGUCUGUUCUAGGAUGGCCUUCAUUGGCAAAACUUGGUUCUACUAGGCUAGCACAGGCAUGUUUUUAUAGAACAGAGGCAAAAGAGCACACAAGUUCAGUUGUGCAAGAUGGUGAGAAUCAUGUUUGCUUUUCAAGUCUCUUCUUGGGUCAUAUUUGCUAAUACCAUGUUGUAAAAUACCACAAGAACAAGCCAUUUGGAGAAGCUCAGAGUUAGAAAGAAAGAAGACUACAAAUUAAAGGGCAAAAUGUGCCCAUUGGGAAGCUAUAUUGAGGUCAUUAAUACAGUUAAUUUUUCAUACACUAAAAUCUUGUUGCAAUCUGAUGUCUUUGGUAUUUGCUUUUCCCAUUUGUAUUAGUUACUUCUUUCUUGCCUGCAUGGUGAGCUCACUUGCGUUCCUUUACAUCUAUGUGUAUAUAUCAUAUGCACAGUGAGAGCCUCAAAUUUGAUUUUACUACAGAAUUAAUUGCCACCACCUCCUAUCCUUCUCAGCAGUUCUGUUUUUCUUUGUAACCUUUAAUCACCAUCUUACACGUGUUCUGUUUGUUUAGUGCUUGUCUUUCAACCAGAAAGUGUGCUUCAUGAAGUGAGGGACUGUUGUUUAAUUUAGCAUCUUCAUUGCCUAGAAAGGUAGCACUCAUUAAAUAUUUGCUGAAUGAAAGAAUGAAUCUACACUUAUCUACUUUUGCCUAAAUUCAAAUCUGCUUUCAUAUUGUGCAGUGUAAAUUGCAGCUGUACUUGGUUAGCACACCUAACGAUAGAAUAUUUCUCAUGGACCCACACAUAGGCUCUGAAAUAAGAGUUAUGCUACCACUUAUUUGUUGUUUAACACAAUUCACUUCUUCUUUACCUCCCUGAUUUCUCAUCUGUGAAAUUGGGCUCUAACUUUACCGAGUUGAUGAGAGGAGAUGAAUGAGGUGUAAACAGUGCUCAAUACAAACUAUAGGACUAGUAUAACACGUAUUGCAUAAUAUUCCUAGCAACUACUUGUUAUUGGAGUAUAUGGAAUAGGUAAGAUGGAAUUGAAAGCUGGAGAGAUUGUUUAUUAGUGAAGACAUUGCAGAAUCUUUGAAAACUGUUUUUUGAAAGGAGAAUAGGCCAUGAAAUGCUAAGGAAUGACUAUGAAAAAGUAAAUACCUUUGACUUGUUAACCCUUCUCCUUCAUUAUAUUGGGCUGUUAAAAUAGCAACUACCCACCAUCUCUGCCUGUACCUAGACCAUUGAAGAUGUCGCAUUUAAUUUAUGCCAAAACCUGAACAGAACAUCAACAAUGUCUGACAGUGCAGAUGCUUCUACACUUCUCCCAUUGAAUACAUUUACUCACUGAAAACCGCCUACAGCUUCCACUCCAAUCUAUGUACUUCACUUCAAACUUUACAGAGAAAUUAUACAACUGAAAUAAUGCAUAGUGGUGCAUGCCUGUAAUCUCACCUUGGGAAGCUAAGGCAGGAAUAUUGAGCAUUCACAGCCAACCAGGGGCUACAUACUCAGAACCUGCAUUU
This is a long non-coding RNA of Perognathus longimembris pacificus (Pacific pocket mouse), 2401 nucleotides long. RefSeq lists it as uncharacterized. The record is from RefSeq and is a predicted model, not a curated record. The transcript has 2 exons. Lineage: Eukaryota; Metazoa; Chordata; Mammalia; Rodentia; Heteromyidae.